Molecule: transfer RNA, 87 nt
Filed under: Daphnia pulex (common water flea)
Lineage: Eukaryota; Metazoa; Arthropoda; Branchiopoda; Diplostraca; Daphniidae
Rfam family: tRNA
About the family: Transfer RNA (tRNA) molecules are approximately 80 nucleotides in length. Their secondary structure includes four short double-helical elements and three loops (D, anti-codon, and T loops).
Source: Rfam by way of RNAcentral
GCCUUCUUAGCUCAGUGGUAGAGCGUGGGUCUCGUACAGAAAAUGUUAGUUAACCAAAGGCCGAGAGUUCAAUCCUCUCAGGAGGCA